GGAUGUGAGGGCGAUCUGGCUGCGACAUCUGUCACCCCAUUGAUUGCCAGGGUUGAUUCAGCUGAUCUGGCUGGCGAGGCGGGUGCCCCCUUCCUCCCUCACCGCUCCAUGUGCGUCCCUCCCAAAGCUGCACGCUCAGUCGAAGAGGACGGCCUUCCCUGAAUAGAGACGGACCGGUCUUAGGUCAAGGGUAUACGAGUAGCUGCGCUCCCCUGCUAGAACCUCCAAACAAGCUCUCAAUGCACAAGAACACAGGUUUGAGUCCCUGCUCCCUACCUGUAGGGGGUA
Molecule: small nuclear RNA, 288 nt
Filed under: Erinaceus europaeus (western European hedgehog)
Lineage: Eukaryota; Metazoa; Chordata; Mammalia; Eulipotyphla; Erinaceidae
Description: 7SK RNA
Rfam family: 7SK RNA
About the family: 7SK was discovered as an abundant small nuclear RNA in the mid-70s but a possible function has only recently been suggested. Two independent studies have found that 7SK RNA binds the CDK9/cyclin T complex (known as elongation factor P-TEFb). P-TEFb activates transcription by phosphorylating the C-terminal domain of RNA polymerase II.
Source: Rfam by way of RNAcentral